Molecule: ribosomal RNA, 401 nt
Filed under: uncultured bacterium
Lineage: Bacteria
Description: bacterial SSU rRNA
Rfam family: Bacterial small subunit ribosomal RNA
Source: RNAcentral
GUUUGAUCCUGGCUCAGAUUGAACGCUGGCGGCAUGCUUUACACAUGCAAGUCGAACGGGGUUGGGAGCUUGCUUCCAAUCUAGUGGCGAACGGGUGAGUAAUACAUCGGAACGUACCGUGUAGUGGGGGAUAACGUAGCGAAAGUUACGCUAAUACCGCAUACGAUCCACGGAUGAAAGCAGGGGACCUUCGGGCCUUGUGCUAUACGAGCGGCCGAUGUCUGAUUAGCUAGUUGGUGAGGUAAAGGCUCACCAAGGCGACGAUCAGUAGCGGGUCUGAGAGGAUGAUCCGCCACACUGGGACUGAGACACGGCCCAGACUCCUACGGGAGGCAGCAGUGGGGAAUUUUGGACAAUGGGCGCAAGCCUGAUCCAGCCAUGCCGCGUGUCUGAAGAAGGCC